AUACGGAAGGGGGCUAGCGUUGCUCGGAAUGACUGGGCGUAAAGGGCGUGUAGGCGGUUUACACAGUCAGAUGUGAAAUCCCCGGGCUUAACCUGGGAGCUGCAUUUGAGACGUUAAGACUAGAGUGUGAGAGAGGGUUGUGGAAUUCCCAGUGUAGAGGUGAAAUUCGUAGAUAUUGGGAAGAACACCGGUGGCGAAGGCGGCAACCUGGCUCAUGACUGACGCUGAGGCUCGAAAGUAUGGGUAGC
RNAcentral lists this ribosomal RNA (248 nucleotides) under uncultured bacterium. RNAcentral's name for it is "partial 16S ribosomal RNA". It matches the Rfam family "Bacterial small subunit ribosomal RNA", at positions 523 to 769 of the family's 1533-position model. The record is from RNAcentral.